RNAcentral lists this ribosomal RNA (497 nucleotides) under uncultured bacterium. RNAcentral's name for it is "partial 16S ribosomal RNA". It matches the Rfam family "Bacterial small subunit ribosomal RNA", at positions 28 to 507 of the family's 1533-position model. The record is from RNAcentral.
GAUGAACGCUGGCGGCGUGCCUAAUACAUGCAAGUCGAGCGAACGGACGAGAAGCUUGCUUCUCUGAUGUUAGCGGCGGACGGGUGAGUAACACGUGGAUAACCUACCUAUAAGACUGGGAUAACUUCGGGAAACCGGAUCUAAUACCGGAUGAUAUUUUGAACCGCAUGGUUCAAAAGUGAAAGACGGUCUUGCUGUCACUUAUAGAUGGAUCCGCGCUGCAUUAGCUAGUUGGUAAGGUAACGGCUUACCAAGGCAACGAUGCAUAGCCGACCUGAGAGGGUGGUCGGCCACACUGGAACUGAGACACGGUCCAUACUCCUACGGGAGGCAGCAGUAGGGAAUCUUCCGCAAUGGGCGAAAGCCUGACGGAGCAACGCCGCGUGAGUGAUGAAGGUCUUCGGAUCGUAAAACUCUGUUAUUAGGGAAGAACAUAUGUGUAAGUAACUGUGCACAGCUUGACGGUACCUAAUCAGAAAGCCACGGCUAACUACGUG